This 1628-nucleotide long non-coding RNA is filed under the name Capra hircus (goat). Its description in RNAcentral is "lncRNA (ENSCHIG00010018011.1)". Lineage: Eukaryota; Metazoa; Chordata; Mammalia; Artiodactyla; Bovidae. The record is from RNAcentral.
AUGAGGUGGUUGGAUGGCAUCACUGACUCGAUGGACACAAGUUUGAGCAAGCUUCAGCAGCUGGUGAUGGGAAGCCUGGUAUGCUGCAGUCCACAGGGUCACAAAGAGUCGGACACGACUGAGUGACUAAACUGAAGUGAACUGAGAGCAGGGUAGGUUCGGGGCCUCCUUGGCAGGAUUCCAGCUGAAAGACUUCACUUCUCAGAGAGUCCCAGAAUCACUAUAUCUAAGAAGAGAAGGUGGUAAGCAAAAGAAAGAUAGUCAACAAAGCAAAUUUAAUAACCCUGGUGAUAGAGGCAGACUUUUAUUUCUAACAUGAAUAAUCCUAUUUUGCAAUAUUUACUAAUGAUCAACACAAUUGUACUCAUACACAGUUCAUAUAUCACUACCUAUAGUCAACAUAAAACUUCCCCUUUGGAUUGGUUUUAUAGAUCAGUUCCAUCAAUAACCAAGAAUUAAUUUUAACGAAAAUAAGUCUCAGGUGAUAUAGAUUACAUGUAAUUAGAACCAAAGUAUUGCUCCUUUGAGUACUAGCAUGUUUGUAAUAUCAUUGAAAGGUAUAAUGAAAUUUAAAUAAUUGAUAUUUUUCUCUUUUUAAAAAAGAAAACCCUUCAACAUUUAGAGUUGUUUUUGUUUCAUAUGGAGAAAAAGUGUAAGAAAGAAUUAAUUACUUUAAGAUUGUUUAAUAACUUAACAUUAAGCUACCAAAACUGGAAGAAUUAGCUUCAGAUAUCAUGCUUCACAUUUCAUGUUUCAAUAGAACAAAAAUAGCAUUGAGCAAACCUUUUCAAACAACGUAUAGGAUAACAUCUCUUUUUAGUAAUGAGAAGAGCCAUCUUUUUAUAAAAGACUCUUUCUUUCCUAGAAAAUAUUUUCAAGGUGACAUGUCAGUUAAAUGAAAGGAGCAUUAGACUAACAAGGGAGACAUAAAAUUUAUUAUGACUAUAAAAGAUUUCACAUCCACUAAGAGACAUCUUUUUUUUUUAACCACCUUAUUUUACCCACUAGAACUCUUUCAAAAUUAAGUAUACUUCUUAGAUCUCCCAAAACUGAAUUAAAGUUUCAUCUGUGAGUCAAUUCAAAUGUUAUGUUUGGACUAGAACAGAUAAAGAUGACAGAGAAAAAAGACCCUAAGCAAGUAUCCUCCUCCAAACAUAAAAACUACGAUGAUAUAUAGAGCAACUCUCUCUGAAAAUGACUUAGAAACUAGCAUAACUGCUACAAGCAAGGAUAUAAAGAAAGAACUGCAUGUAUUCUGAUAGGUAGGAGGAGAAGCGAUUUAACCAAGACUCAUACCCCUAGAUGGGUAUGACUCAUACCCCAGAAAAGGAGGGAGAUAUCACCGGCUUAGAGAUAUUUCCUAAGAAGUGAGGGGUUUGUGGUACAGUACUGAAGACAAGCCCACUUGGCUAAUUAUGAAAACCAAUAAAAUUACAGAGGUCAAUGGGAAACCAAGACAAUGCUCUUGAAAGGAAUGUACAGAACUUGCUUACUUCCAGUCUGAGCACAGAGUAGCAGAUAGAAAACUGUCUGGUUAUCAGGAUGGUCUGCCGGGACCAUCCCAGUGCACUCCCCAACCCACACUGGGCUCUGGUUCUAGUCUCUUUGUCUCCAGCCCUGACACUCCA